CGCAGCGAGAGCGAGUCUGAAUAGGGCGUAUGAAGUUGCAGGUAUUAGACCCGAAACCGGGUGACCUAUCCAUGAGCAGGCUGAAGCGGUGGUAAGACACCGUGGAGGGCCGCACCCACGUCUGUUGAAAAAGCCGGGGAUGACUUGUGGAUAGCGGAGAAAUUCCAAUCGAACUCGGAGAUAGCUGGUUCUCCCCGAAAUAGCUUUAGGGCUAGCGUUAUUUUAGAUUACCGGAGGUAAAGCACUGAAUGGUCUAGGGGCCGCGAGGUUACCAAAGCCUAUCAAACUCUGAAUGCCGGAUAAUUGAUGAAUAGCAGUCAGACUGUGUGAGAUAAGUCUCAUAGUCAAAAGGGAAACAGCCCAGAUCUACAGCUAAGGUCCCAAAGUCAGGUUAAGUGGAAAACGAUGUGAAGAUACGCAGACAACCAGGAUGUUGGCUCAGAAGCAGCCACUCAUUCAAAGAGUGCGUAAUAGCUCACUGGUCGAGUGGUUUUGCGCAGAAAAUGUAACGGGGCUAAGUGUUCAACCGAAGCUUAGGCAUUGCAGCAAUGCAUUGGGUAGGGGAGCGUCGUAUGCGGGGCGAAGUCAGAGCGGAAGCACUGGUGGACUGCAUACGAGUGAGAAUGCCGGAAUAAGUAGCGAGAAUUAUGUGAGAAUCAUAAUGGCCGAAAAUCUAAGGUUUCUUGGGGAAGGUUCGUCCGCCCAAGGUAAGUCGGGAGCUAAGCUCAGGCCGAGAGGCGUAGGCGAUGCACAUACGGUAGAAAUUCCGUAACCACCGAACAUUUAAGCUAGAGGGACGCUUUCUUUAAGGUUAUCCCGGGCGAUGGUUGCCCCGGGCGUAAGGGACCGAAAUUUAGUAGGGAAGUAACUGGCGAGAGAGACGAGAAAAGCUCUAGUGUAUACUAAGGUGCCCGUACCGCAAACCGACACAGGUAGAUGAGGAGAGUAUUCUAAGGCCAACGGGAGAAGGGUUGUUAAGGAACUCGGCAAAUUGGCCCCGUAACUUCGGGAUAAGGGGCGCCUGCGAGAGCAGGCCGCAGUGAAAAGGCCCAAGCGACUGUUUAGCAAAAACACAGCUCUCUGCUAAAUCGAAAGAUGACGUAUAGGGGGUGACGCCUGCCCGGUGCUGGAAGGUUAAGGGGAGUGCUUAGCGCAAGCGAAGGUGCGAACUUAAGCCCCAGUAAACGGCGGCCGUAACUAUAACGGUCCUAAGGUAGCGAAAUUCCUUGUCAGGUAAGUUCUGACCCGCACGAAUGGCGUAACGAUUUGGGCACUGUCUCAACAGCCCGCCCGGCGAAAUUGUAGUACCGGUGAAGAUGCCGGUUUCCCGCAACUAGACGGAAAGACCCCAUGGAGCUUCACUGUAGCUUGAUAUUGGAUCUCGGUAUUCCAUGUACAGGAUAGGUGGGAGACUUGGAAGUAAGCGCGCCAGCGUUUAUGGAGUCAACCUUGGGAUACCACUCUUGGGAUAUUGGGAUUCUAACCUGCGACCAUGAAUCUGGUCGGGGGACACUGUCAGGUGGGCAGUUUGACUGGGGCGGUCGCCUCCAAAAGAGUAACGG
This 1562-nucleotide ribosomal RNA is filed under the name human gut metagenome. RNAcentral's name for it is "bacterial LSU rRNA". It matches the Rfam family "Bacterial large subunit ribosomal RNA", at positions 667 to 2303 of the family's 2925-position model. The record is from RNAcentral.